RNAcentral lists this ribosomal RNA (440 nucleotides) under uncultured Actinomycetes bacterium. RNAcentral describes it as "bacterial SSU rRNA". It matches the Rfam family "Bacterial small subunit ribosomal RNA", at positions 979 to 1422 of the family's 1533-position model. The record is from RNAcentral. Lineage: Bacteria; Bacillati; Actinomycetota; Actinomycetes.
GCUUGACAUAUACAGGAAUAUGGCAGAGAUGUCAUAGCCGCAAGGUCUGUAUACAGGUGGUGCAUGGUUGUCGUCAGCUCGUGUCGUGAGAUGUUGGGUUAAGUCCCGCAACGAGCGCAACCCUCGUUCUGUGUUGCCAGCAUUUAGUUGGGGACUCACAGGAGACUGCCGGGGUUAACUCGGAGGAAGGUGGGGAUGACGUCAAAUCAUCAUGCCCCUUAUGUCUUGGGCUGCACGCAUGCUACAAUGGCUGGUACAAACGGCUGCAAUACCGCAAGGUGGAGCGAAUCCGAUAAAGCCAGUCUCAGUUCGGAUUGGGGUCUGCAACUCGACCCCAUGAAGUCGGAGUUGCUAGUAAUCGUAGAUCAGCAACGCUACGGUGAAUACGUUCCCGGGGCUUGUACACACCGCCCGUCACGUCACGAAAGUCGGUAACACCC